CAGAAGCGUAUAUUAAUGUUGUUGCAGUUAAAACGCUCGUAGUUGGAUCUUGGAGAAGGGUGGAACUCUGUCCGCCUGAAGGCGAGUACGGAUUCUCCCUCUCUGUAUUUGGCAACAGAUCAUGGUGGCCCUUAGUUGGGUUCAUCAUUCGGUGGAGGGAGACUGAAGCCGAGGCGAGGGUGCGGAGGAUGGCGGGCAGUGAAAGCUGAACGUCACGCCGUAGUCUGGUGGUUCUUUGCCACAUUUACUUUGAAAAAAAUAGAGUGCUCAAAGCAGACCUUAGGGUCAUUGAAUAAUUCAGCAUGGGAUAAUAGAACAGGAGUGCGAACUCAUUUGUUGGUAUUGUGGGUUUGAACUAAUGAUAAAAAGAGACCGUCGGGGUGGUUUGUAUUGAAAAGCUAGAGGUGAAAUUCUUGGAUUUUUUCAAGACAAACUACUGCGAAAGCAAUCCACUAGGAGGUUCUCAUUAA
RNAcentral lists this ribosomal RNA (470 nucleotides) under uncultured eukaryote. RNAcentral's name for it is "partial 18S ribosomal RNA". It matches the Rfam family "Eukaryotic small subunit ribosomal RNA", at positions 592 to 976 of the family's 1831-position model. The record is from RNAcentral.